RNAcentral lists this transfer RNA (67 nucleotides) under Daphnia carinata. RNAcentral's name for it is "tRNA-Leu". The record is from RNAcentral. Lineage: Eukaryota; Metazoa; Arthropoda; Branchiopoda; Diplostraca; Daphniidae.
GUUAGUCUGACAGAAAAUGUACUAGAUUUAGGAUCUACUUAUGUAGGUGUUAGCCCUACGACUAAUU